AGGGUAUUUAAGUAUAUUAUGUAAUUUAAAUGUAAAUCACAAAGCCAAAGAACUAAAUAAGCAUUUCAAAGCAAAAUGAGGCAAAGCAUGUUAAUUCCUUAUACCUGAAGUCAGACUUUUUUCUGUUCCCUUGGGGAUUUCUCUCAGUACUAGGUAGAAUUUUCUUUUACAUUUUCUAGGACUCAUUUUACAUAAAGGAAAAACAAAAUAACGUCAUGAGUAAUUUUCAUGGAACUGUGUUCUAAAUCUCAUGCUAUGGUUCUAGUAAUGGCAUAUAGCAGUCUAAUAAUUCUUACCUUGCUUGUUAAUUUCUUACCUUACUCUUAAGUUUUUCAAUUGUUUUGAUGUAAAUGAUGGUCAGAUUCCUUGGGGGCAGGGAUUUGUUUCACUCACUGUUUUAUCCUGUGAGUUAGAACAGUGCCUGGUACAUACAUAGUAGGCAUUUACUGAGUGAAUGUAAAAUCUUAGUUGACAGACGUACUCAUCCAGCAUCCAUGGUACUUGUCAUCUGUUAAAGGGCUUGAAAAAGCAUCGUUGCAAUAAACCAUACUAAACCCCAAACUAACUGAAGUACACUAAAGAUAAGUUCUAGUGACUGUACCUCAAUCUUAACUGUUACUUCAGAAAUGUCCAAAAGCUUGUUACGUGAAAACAUGAAACUUUCACGUGGUUUUUGAGUAGGAAAGGCAAUCCCUUGUGAUGAUUUGAAACAUACCUUCUUUCAUAUCAUAUUCAUACUACUAUUACCACAGUAGUAGUUUAAAAGUAGUAACUUUUGAGGAGCUAACAUUUAGCUAGAUAAGAGUUGAUCUAAAGGCCCUAAUGGACAAAAAAAAUUCCUAUUUUAACUUCUGAGAAGGGGUGAAUAAUGGUGACAGGGCAUGCACUUCAGUGUUCUUGGAGCUAACAGGUGAGGUGAGAAGUGAGCAGAUUUUGCUCCAGUUACCUACACACUCCCCCCUAACCCUCCAAACAUUACUUGGUUUCUCUCUACCUGGCUUAAGUUCCUUAACUGCAGAUUUCCUGUGCUUUUUGAACUUGCUAUAUAAAAACUGCUCUUAUGAUUCAAUAUGAUCUCGUUCAAGGCCACCUCAUUGUUAGUGACUGGUAAUUGACUAUUAAUUUGAUGGUAAUUUGUCCUAGGUUUAAGGUUGAUGUUUGCAUUUCACGGGAACUGGCUAACCUCGCUCCAGUUUUCAUUCAGACUAUGAAAGUGGCUGCCUAAUCUCACAUCAGAUUCAAACUAAGCCAUUUCUUGAUGCCCUUCUUUUAUGCUGUUCCUUGGGGGUAUCUAAAUGUGGUAUUUAGAAAUAUCUUUUUUUUUUUUGGUCCUGCCUGCAAACUUUUUUGGUAGGUGUUGAUCUCUUGCCUACCUCUGCAACUAAACUGAAGACUUGUUCUGAAAGGUGAGUAAUAGGGGGAACAAGGUUUCUACUUUGUGUUUAUAAUUACCAGAUUUUCUCUUAUGUUCAUAUAUUGUUCUGAUGUAAAGAACAUCAAUUACAUAAAAGUAGACCUUUUGUAAAUAAAUAUAAUUUAUUAG
RNAcentral lists this long non-coding RNA (1543 nucleotides) under Phocoena sinus (vaquita). Its description in RNAcentral is "lncRNA (ENSPSNG00000006108.1)". The record is from RNAcentral. Lineage: Eukaryota; Metazoa; Chordata; Mammalia; Artiodactyla; Phocoenidae.